AGUGAACGCUGGCGGUAGGCCUAACACAUGCAAGUCGAACGGCAGCACAGUAAGAGCUUGCUCUUACGGGUGGCGAGUGGCGGACGGGUGAGGAAUACAUCGGAAUCUACUUUUUCGUGGGGGAUAACGUAGGGAAACUUACGCUAAUACCGCAUACGACCUACGGGUGAAAGCAGGGGAUCUUCGGACCUUGCGCGAUUGAAUGAGCCGAUGUCGGAUUAGCUAGUUGGCGGGGUAAAGGCCCACCAAGGCGACGAUCCGUAGCUGGUCUGAGAGGAUGAUCAGCCACACUGGAACUGAGACACGGUCCAGACUCCUACGGGAGGCAGCAGUGGGGAAUAUUGGACAAUGGGCGCAAGCCUGAUCCAGCCAUACCGCGUGGGUGAAGAAGGCCUUCGGGUUGUAAAGCCCUUUUGUUGGGAAAGAAGAGCAGCAGGUUAAUACCCCGCUGUCCUGACGGUACCCAAAGAAUAAGCACCGGCUAACUUCGU
RNAcentral lists this ribosomal RNA (491 nucleotides) under uncultured bacterium. RNAcentral's name for it is "partial 16S ribosomal RNA". It matches the Rfam family "Bacterial small subunit ribosomal RNA", at positions 29 to 506 of the family's 1533-position model. The record is from RNAcentral.